This 433-nucleotide ribosomal RNA is filed under the name uncultured bacterium. RNAcentral describes it as "partial 16S ribosomal RNA". It matches the Rfam family "Bacterial small subunit ribosomal RNA", at positions 29 to 507 of the family's 1533-position model. The record is from RNAcentral.
AACGAACGCUGGCGGCAUGCCUAACACAUGCAAGUCGAACGAGACCUUCGGGUCUAGUGGCGCACGGCUGCGUAACGCGUGGGAACCUGCCCUUAGGUUCGGCAUAACUACCCGAAUGGGGUGCUAAUACCGGAUAAUGUCUUCGGACCAAAGAUUUAUCGCCCUUGGAUGGGCCCGCGUUGGAUUAGCUAGUUGGUAGGGUAAAAGCCUACCAAGGCGACGAUCCAUAGCUUGUCUGAGAGGAUGAUCAGCCACACUGGGACUGAGACACGGCCCAGACUCCUACGGGAGGCAGCAGUGGGGAAUAUUGGACAAUGGGCGAAAGCCUGAUCCAGCAAUGCCGCGUGAGUGAUGAAGGCCUUAGGGUUGUAAAGCUCUUUUACCCGGGAUGAUAAUGACAGUACCGGGAGAAUAAGCUCCGGCUAACUCCGUG